Hibiscus syriacus is the source of this 206-nucleotide long non-coding RNA. RefSeq lists it as uncharacterized. The transcript is spliced from 3 exons. Lineage: Eukaryota; Viridiplantae; Streptophyta; Magnoliopsida; Malvales; Malvaceae. The record is from RefSeq and is a predicted model, not a curated record.
CAGCCACUUCACACUUUACUCUCGUCGCUUCGAUUCUUCAAUAAUCAGAAAGGCUAGCUCGCGCCUCCAUCAAGCAUCACCAUCAUCGCAGAUAAGCAACUAGAUAAAUCUACCAAGCUAGUCCCCAAAGAAGCGAUGGAUAUUGUUGCCAUUGUUGUUUAUCACUACGAUAACAUUGCAACACCAUUGAUACCAUUAACGAAUGG